ACGGCUCAGUAACACGUCGAUAAUCUGCCCUUGAGUCCUGGAUAACCUUGGGAAACUGAGGCUAACACGAGAUAGGGGAAUUCUACUGGAAUGUGUUUUCCCUCAAAAGCAAUGCUCAAGGAUGAGUUGGCGGCGGAUUAGCUUGUUGGUGGGGUAAUGGCCCACCAAGGCGUUGAUCCGUAGGGGCCUUGGAAGAGGUAGCCCCGAGAAGGACACUGAGAUACUGGUCCUAGCCCCACGGGGUGCAGCAGGCGCGAAAACUUUACACUACACGAAAGUGUGAUAAGGGGAUUCCAAGUGCCUAUACUAAGUAUAGGCUUUUUUUGAGAGUAAAGAUCUCGAAGAAUAAGUGGUGGGUAAGACCGGUGCCAGCAGCCGCGGUAAUA
This 386-nucleotide ribosomal RNA is filed under the name uncultured archaeon. Its description in RNAcentral is "bacterial SSU rRNA". It matches the Rfam family "Archaeal small subunit ribosomal RNA", at positions 85 to 475 of the family's 1478-position model. The record is from RNAcentral.